ACAACAUUUGGACCGUCGGUCUACCCAGCAAAUAUUACCAGCUCGGUGGAAGAUCUUCCCUUUGUCGU
RNAcentral lists this microRNA precursor (68 nucleotides) under Bombyx mori (domestic silkworm). RNAcentral's name for it is "mir-2774 microRNA precursor family". It matches the Rfam family "mir-2774 microRNA precursor family". Lineage: Eukaryota; Metazoa; Arthropoda; Insecta; Lepidoptera; Bombycidae. The record is from Rfam by way of RNAcentral.